CGAAUUCGCCCUUAGAGUUUGAUCAUGGCUCAGGAUGAACGCUGGCGGCGUGCCUAAUACAUGCAAGUCGAGCGAACGGACGAGAAGCUUGCUUCUCUGAUGUUAGCGGCGGACGGGUGAGUAACACGUGGAUAACCUACCUAUAAGACUGGGAUAACUUCGGGAAACCGGAGCUAAUACCGGAUAAUAUUUUGAACCGCAUGGUUCAAAAGUGAAAGACGGUCUUGCUGUCACUUAUAGAUGGAUCCGCGCUGCAUUAGCUAGUUGGUAAGGUAACGGCUUACCAAGGCAACGAUGCAUAGCCGACCUGAGAGGGUGAUCGGCCACACUGGAACUGAGACACGGUCCAGACUCCUACGGGAGGCAGCAGUAGGGAAUCUUCCGCAAUGGGCGAAAGCCUGACGGAGCAACGCCGCGUGAGUGAUGAAGGUCUUCGGAUCGUAAAACUCUGUUAUUAGGGAAGAACAUAUGUGUAAGUAACUGUGCACAUCUUGACGGUACCUAAUCAGAAAGCCACGGCUAACUACGUGCCAGCAGCCGCGGUAAUACGUAGGUGGCAAGCGUUAUCCGGAAUUAUUGGGCGUAAAGCGCGCGUAGGCGGUUUUUUAAGUCUGAUGUGAAAGCCCACGGCUCAACCGUGGAGGGUCAUUGGAAACUGGAAAACUUGAGUGCAGAAGAGGAAAGUGGAAUUCCAUGUGUAGCGGUGAAAUGCGCAGAGAUAUGGAGGAACACCAGUGGCGAAGGCGACUUUCUGGUCUGUAACUGACGCUGAUGUGCGAAAGCGUGGGGAUCAAACAGGAUUAGAUACCCUGGUAGUCCACGCCGUAAACGAUGAGUGCUAAGUGUUAGGGGGUUUCCGCCCCUUAGUGCUGCAGCUAACGCAUUAAGCACUCCGCCUGGGGAGUACGACCGCAAGGUUGAAACUCAAAGGAAUUGACGGGGACCCGCACAAGCGGUGGAGCAUGUGGUUUAAUUCGAAGCAACGCGAAGAACCUUACCAAAUCUUGACAUCCUUUGACAACUCUAGAGAUAGAGCCUUCCCCUUCGGGGGACAAAGUGACAGGUGGUGCAUGGUUGUCGUCAGCUCGUGUCGUGAGAUGUUGGGUUAAGUCCCGCAACGAGCGCAACCCUUAAGCUUAGUUGCCAUCAUUAAGUUGGGCACUCUAAGUUGACUGCCGGUGACAAACCGGAGGAAGGUGGGGAUGACGUCAAAUCAUCAUGCCCCUUAUGAUUUGGGCUACACACGUGCUACAAUGGACAAUACAAAGGGCAGCGAAACCGCGAGGUCAAGCAAAUCCCAUAAAGUUGUUCUCAGUUCGGAUUGUAGUCUGCAACUCAACUACAUGAAGCUGGAAUCGCUAGUAAUCGUAGAUCAGCAUGCUACGGUGAAUACGUUCCCGGGUCUUGUACACACCGCCCGUCACACCACGAGAGUUUGUAACACCCGAAGCCGGUGGAGUAACCUUUUAGGAGCUAGCCGUCGAAGGUGGGACAAAUGAUUGGGGUGAAGUCGUAACAAGGUAACAAGGGCGAAUU
This 1536-nucleotide ribosomal RNA is filed under the name uncultured Staphylococcus sp. RNAcentral's name for it is "partial 16S ribosomal RNA". It matches the Rfam family "Bacterial small subunit ribosomal RNA". Lineage: Bacteria; Bacillati; Bacillota; Bacilli; Caryophanales; Staphylococcaceae. The record is from RNAcentral.